RNAcentral lists this ribosomal RNA (253 nucleotides) under uncultured bacterium. RNAcentral describes it as "partial 16S ribosomal RNA". It matches the Rfam family "Bacterial small subunit ribosomal RNA", at positions 524 to 776 of the family's 1533-position model. The record is from RNAcentral.
UACGGAGGGAGCUAGCGUUGUUCGGAAUUACUGGGCGUAAAGCGCACGUAGGCGGCGAUUUAAGUCAGAGGUGAAAGCCCGGGGCUCAACCCCGGAAUAGCCUUUGAGACUGGAUUGCUUGAAUAUUGGAGAGGUGAGUGGAAUUCCGAGUGUAGAGGUGAAAUUCGUAGAUAUUCGGAAGAACACCAGUGGCGAAGGCGGCUCACUGGACAAUUACUGACGCUGAGGUGCGAAAGCGUGGGGAGCAAACAGG